AGCUGCUGCAACCCGCUGCCCUCUGGUGUCCUGCUGUGGGAGCUUUGUUCUUUCACUCUCGUAAUAAGUCUUGCUGCUGCUCACUCUUUGGGUCCGCACUGUCUCUGUGAGCUGUAACACUCACCGCGAGGUUCUGUGCCUUCGUUCUUUAAGUCAGGGAGACCACGAACCCACCGGGAGGAACAAACAACUGUGAUGCGCCAUCUUUAAGAGCUGUAACAUUCACCGCCGGGGUCUGCGGCUUCAUUCCUGGAGUGAGUGAGACCACGAACCCACCAGAAGGAAGAAACUCUGGACCCAUCUGAACAGCUGAAGGAACAAACUCCGGACACACCAUCUUUAAGAACUGUAACACUCACCGGGAGUCUCCGUGGCUUCAUUCUUGAAGACAGCGAGACCAAGAACCCACCAGAAGGAAUGAAUUCCGCACACAGUAAGAUUUCUAUUUUUAAAAAAUCUCUGGGCUGUAGAACGGGAAAAAAAAGACUUGGAAGGCAAAGCUGAUAGUAGGGAUACAACACCAGUUAAUAUUUCAGUUGUUGUAUUAUAGGUAAGGGCUAGAGUAUUGGCAUUGGAGAGACGGACUAAAUUCUCAGCUCCAACCCUUACCAGCUUGGGUAAGUUAUUUAUUCUCUUUAAAUUUCAAUUUCCUUAAUGGUAAAAUGGGGCUACAGUAAUAACCAGAGCAGAUACGCACAUUCAAGGAUCUAAUGUAUGAAAAGGUGUAGAUGGAUUAAAAAAUGGUAGGAGGUGGAAUUAAAGGGUUGGAUGUGGAAGUGGAAAUGAAAGAAAGUGAGGUGUCAAGGGUUUCUGGCUUGGGCAGCAGCAGGUAGGUUGCAGCAUAUUUUCUUGAGAUAGGACUUUAGGAGGAGGUAAAUAUUCUGAAUGGAAGCUGUAGAACUGGAUGUGCUGCUUUUGAAGAGCCUAUGAGAUACCCAAAGUGGAAUUGUCUGGAAAGUAGUUGUACAAGAGAGGCUGAAGUUGAGGAGAGAGAUCUGGGUAGAACAUA
RNAcentral lists this long non-coding RNA (1009 nucleotides) under Homo sapiens (human). Its description in RNAcentral is "HSALNT0295428". The record is from RNAcentral. Lineage: Eukaryota; Metazoa; Chordata; Mammalia; Primates; Hominidae.